UCUCAUGAAUUAUGGAAUACUCAUUUAAGGGGUUUUCCUAAAAGUCACUUUUUCCUUCCCACUGAGGCCAGCCACAGGCAGAAUGAUGAAGUCAGCAAAGUUCAUCUUUGGCAAUUUCAAAUUCCCCUUCUAGAGCCCAUUUCCUACUCCCAAAUACUGUCCCAUGGCUCCCACAAAAGGAAACUUGCCCUCCCCAGUAUACAAGAUUAUCUUCUCAGACUCAGUAACUAUUAAAGAUAGAAGGGACUUAAGUCACAUUUGUAUUGGAGUUUGUAGAUUUACAGGGUGCAAUUAUUGUUGUAACCCAUAUGAGGGAGUCUUAUUCUGAUCCCAGAUUCCAGAUAUUUUGAUCAUUAUAAUCUUCUCCAAACGAAAGCUUAUAAGCCCCCAAUAUUUUACUUUUACCAGUUAGCUAUAGAAAGCACUAGGGACAAUGAAGGAAAAGUGGAUAGAGCACCAGGCCUGGAGUUGGGAGGACAUAGGUUCAAAUCUGACCUCAGAUACUUUCUAACAGUGUGACCCUUGGCAUGUCACAUAACCCUGAUUGCCUAGCCCUUGCCAUUCUUCUGUCUUAGAAUUGAUUUGGAGACAGAAAAUAAGUGUUCUGAAAGAAAAGGAAAAAAAAAACCAGUUUCUAACAAAAACAUUUUAAUUAAACUUACUCUCCCUAAAUACAUAUGUAUUCAGCAGGAAGAAUAGAGCCUUAUUAUAUUUAUGUUCAAGGUUUACAUGCAUGGGAAUAUGUGAAGCGCCACUUAUGGAAGAAUGUACAUCCAGAAACCACACAUAAACAGGAUAUAUUCGUGACAAGACAACCUCCCAAACUGCAAAGCUUUGAGUUGUCUACUGAUGUCAUUGAAAUAUUCUCUGACAAACCUGCUCCCCACAAGAUUCCUCCAAGUUGUUCAGGAUCAGGGGGCAGAGCCAUUUCUACGCUUGCUCUUACAGACCACAAAGACACGAGGUCCCUCUGCUAAAGGUCUGUCUGUCCCCUCCGAUUUUCCAGUUCUAAUCAUCUUUGGUUCAGCUGCUGUCACUGGGGAUCAAUCAUCCCAGAGAGAGGCUAAUGCAUAUGAUUAGCUCCAGGCUACAGAGGUUCAUGCCCUGCAAUCUCCUCCAGUAGAUUGGAGGGACUCAGGAAAUCGAGCAGAGAUUUUCCCGGAGUGACCCAGAAUCCUCCUAUUCAAGGCAUGGAUUCAGAAGUCAAAAGCCUCGACCUGGGUGUCAAAAGGCCGUUGUCUUAUUUGAUCCUCACCUGGGACGUCACUAAGACAAUUAUUUCCUUCCUCAGUUAGCGGAUGGAGAAACUGUACGUCUGAGAUGACAACAAUAGCGUAGUGCCUGAUACAGAGGAGGGACGUUCUGACUCCGAGUUCUUGAGCUGAUUUUCUUUGAACUAAAACUCAGGUUGCUAGAGGUGGAAUAAUCUGGUCACAGCCAUUCACCAGGU
This 1450-nucleotide long non-coding RNA is filed under the name Monodelphis domestica (gray short-tailed opossum). RNAcentral describes it as "lncRNA (ENSMODG00000040071.1)". Lineage: Eukaryota; Metazoa; Chordata; Mammalia; Didelphimorphia; Didelphidae. The record is from RNAcentral.